Molecule: ribosomal RNA, 253 nt
Filed under: uncultured prokaryote
Description: partial 16S ribosomal RNA
Rfam family: Bacterial small subunit ribosomal RNA
Source: RNAcentral
UACGUAGGGGGCAAGCGUUGUCCGGAAUUACUGGGCGUAAAGGGCGUGUAGGCGGCCAUAAAAGUCAGGGGUGAAAACCUGCGGCUCAACCGCGGGACUGCCUAUGAAACUAUAUGGCUUGAGGACAGGAGAGGGAAGUGGAAUUCCCAGUGUAGCGGUGAAAUGCGUAGAUAUUGGGAGGAACACCAGUGGCGAAGGCGACUUCCUGGCCUGGCCCUGACGCUGAGGCGCGAAAGCGUGGGGAGCGAACAGG